CAGUUCAUAACUGCUUGCUUCUUUGUUUUCACUAGAAAUUAGUUUUGAAGAGUUGAGGAUUCUGAUGUAAAUGUCACUCAAGUUACUAAAAAUAAUAAAAGAAAAAUUUCAGUAUACAGCAGGAAAGCAGGUUAUAUGUUUUGAGUUAAAAAAAAUUGUCCUAAAUAAAGCUCCUUUGCUUCUAGAUGAAAGACAAAGGACAAACUAACAGGGACACUGAAAGUUGUGGCAAGUCUGUGAACAGGGGGCCCUAGAAGGGUUUUGUGCAUGGUCGGGCUGAGAUUCAACUUCAGCAGUCAACAGUUUUGGUGACCAUUUACGAAGGGACCCAGAGCAGACUCCUCUCCUUCGCCUGAACUCUAUGAGGACCUGGAGCCUUGGUACCAGCACAGGCCUCUUGGGCCCAUCUGACUUUUCGAAGAGUCCAAAUUUGGUGUUUAGGACAGAAAGAGAAUUCUCUAGUGGAGCUGUCACGGUGUAACUGCUCACGAUGCAUAACGGUGCCUGCUCUACGUCUAUUGCUAAAAGCACAUGUACGACGCUUGUGGAACAAUUGGGUGUAAGUGAUAGAAUGUAAAGCCAAUAACGUGCUUCCCCAUCAGCAUACCUCUGAGCCUGUCCACCAUCUCUGACUAGUUCUCCCCCAACGCGGAUGACCAGGCAAAUAUAAAGGAGGCCCAGCCCCGAGGGACGUGAUCUGAACAUGGGGCAGGAGCCAUCACCCCCAUCAGCGCUGAGGGAUGGGUAUUUUGAUCAUCAAUGCUUUCUACUUGAAAGAUUUGCAGUCAAAAAGAGAAAUGAUGGGAAAAUCUGCACAUAGUGAGGUAUGGGGAAGUCAUUCUGGCCUACACACAGUUAAACUUCACUGACCAAAGGGGCCUGUUGUUCUGGCCUUUUCGACAUGGAUUGUACAUCCGCUUUGACCUUGAGGAGGGGAAUGCGUUUGAAAGUCGAAAUGGAGUAGCUGUGCUUCAGACAUUCAAGGUAAAACUAGGUGGCCCCCUGGGGGUGUGAUUUCAGACAGGUUCUUGUAUCUCUGAGAACUCAGAUUCUAAGCUGUGUCCUUCUGGGGAGACCACCCACCGUUCUCCAAGCAGUGUAUGCUGGCAGCUGGCACCUGCAGCCUUACGACCUUAAGGUCUCUUGUUUUUAACUACUAAACUUUUAGAUAAUAAAAUUGUUUUAGAUAAGAUGUUAGCAGAACAAAGGAGAGGCGUAAUGGCAGCAGCUCCUGCUGUUUGUGAAUACACGUCAGAAGCUGAAACCUACUUAGAUUAAAGCAGACAGCUGGCUACAAUCUCCCACAAAGCGCCAGCCCCAAACUGGCUUUCAGGCUUGGGCCCCUGAAUUCCUCUGGGAAUGAGAUCUGUUUGUCUGUUAAAGUUCUGGUUGUCACUCCAGCUACUUGUAAUCGAGUCUGCUGGCACAAAAAGUGGGGAACUAAAGGACUGUGAUCUUAAUCAUACAAGACUCAGAUCCAGGACUUGAAGCUAGGGGGUGUUUUCAAUGUGGUGCCCACCCCCAAACUGAGGCAGGACGAGGCCUCGCUUCGGCAGGAAGUCGCCAGAGCAGGAAGCUUUGGGGAAGGAUAAAACAGGAGUGGAGACUGAAACUGUCCCCCUAAAACCGGGCUCCGCUGCCGAGUUUAUGGUUAACCUCUCUGUCCAAAAUGUCAUUCCCUGCCUUGUCCAGCACCCGUUCUUAUGACUGAAAAGUAUCAAGAGGGGGGGACUGUAAGCAAGCAGGACCCUGUGGGGCCGUCUCGGGGCAGACCCCUCCCCUGUACCCUCUGCUGCGGCUCCUCUCUGUGGUACCCAGAUCACAGUACCCCAUGUCUGCUUCCUGAGUUUUUCAGAUGCUGAAAACCACCACCAAAGGGAAGACUCGAACUACCUGAUGGUCAGGAACACGUGGCCCCAGGCCUGCCGGCGCCUGGGGGUCGGCAGCGUUGGCCGUCCUGUUCCCUCCACAUCAGCCCGCCAGGGAAUCGUGCACGAGCUAAUGGCCUACCUGCCGCCCGCCUUUCCUCGCUCGGCCCUGCAGUGAACCUGUCUCUGCUCCAGGCUCACAUCGGGCACCCGGACGUGCCUUCGGCAGCAUGGGUGCAGAGGGAAGGGAGUAGGUGGUGGAUGCCUGCGGGGAGGACACAGUCCUGCCGGACCGCGGGGACCAAGAACCCGGGCUGAAACUAAUUCCACUUGUCCCACUGACACAUCCGGUCCCAGAGCCGCUCAGCCAACACCUAACCCACUCCCAGGGGACUGCCCCCGUCAGGGCAGGUGCCGGCUGGCCAGUGGGCAGAGCAAAGGUCACAGGCCACCGAGGAGGGGGUGGAAUGGGGGCAGGGGUGAGUGCGCCACCUGCAGCCCAGGGCAGGGUGGGUGCUGCGGCCUCAGGACCCCAGCUCCAGCUCUGCCCCUGGCCCGGGACCUGCAUGACAGCCGGCACCUCCUGCCGCUAAAUUCUGUGCAUCUGGCCACCUGCUGGACUGGGAGCCCGAAGGGCAGGGGCCAGAGCGUUCAUCCUCCAAUGCCUGGCACCCAGCCUGGUGCGAGGUGGCUGUCAGAUGCUCAGUUGAUGUUUACUGCUAAUGGAUCCUAUGUGAAAAAUGAAUCUGUGCAUUUUGUGCCUCUGUCUCAACGCGUGACUUCCUCCCUGCGUUGCAUUUGUAAAACAUGACAGUACCUUGGAGGAACUGGGCAGGGAUAAGUGGGGACUGUGCACCCGGAUGGGCUGAGGCCCGGAAGUCGCCCUGCUGGGGUCCAGGCUGGGCUUGCUCUGGGCUGGAUGCCUCUGCAGCCAGAGGGGCCGGACUGCCCACAGCCAAAGGGGAGGGAGAUGGCCCGGCACAGUCUCUGCUGUGUGCUCUGCGGUGGAAACCAGGCGCUCU
This is a non-coding RNA of Vicugna pacos (alpaca), 2890 nucleotides long. Lineage: Eukaryota; Metazoa; Chordata; Mammalia; Artiodactyla; Camelidae. The record is from RefSeq and is a predicted model, not a curated record.